This 498-nucleotide ribosomal RNA is filed under the name uncultured bacterium. RNAcentral's name for it is "partial 16S ribosomal RNA". It matches the Rfam family "Bacterial small subunit ribosomal RNA", at positions 28 to 508 of the family's 1533-position model. The record is from RNAcentral.
GAUGAACGCUGGCGGCGUGCCUAAUACAUGCAAGUCGAGCGAACAGACGAGGAGCUUGCUCCUCUGACGUUAGCGGCGGACGGGUGAGUAACACGUGGAUAACCUACCUAUAAGACUGGGAUAACUUCGGGAAACCGGAGCUAAUACCGGAUAAUAUAUUGAACCGCAUGGUUCAAUAGUGAAAGACGGUUUUGCUGUCACUUAUAGAUGGAUCCGCGCCGCAUUAGCUAGUUGGUAAGGUAACGGCUUACCAAGGCAACGAUGCGUAGCCGACCUGAGAGGGUGAUCGGCCACACUGGAACUGAGACACGGUCCAGACUCCUACGGGAGGCAGCAGUAGGGAAUCUUCCGCAAUGGGCGAAAGCCUGACGGAGCAACGCCGCGUGAGUGAUGAAGGUCGUCGGAUCGUAAAACUCUGUUAUUAGGGAAGAACAAAUGUGUAAGUAACUAUGCACGUCUUGACGGUACCUAAUCAGAAAGCCACGGCUAACUACGGGC